RNAcentral lists this ribosomal RNA (253 nucleotides) under uncultured bacterium. Its description in RNAcentral is "partial 16S ribosomal RNA". It matches the Rfam family "Bacterial small subunit ribosomal RNA", at positions 524 to 776 of the family's 1533-position model. The record is from RNAcentral.
UACGGAGGGUGCAAACGUUGCUCGGAAUCAUUGGGCGUAAAGGGCUCGUAGGCGGCCAACUAAGUCAGACGUGAAAUCCCCAGGCUCAACCUGGGAACUGCGUCUGAUACUGGAUGGCUUGAAUCCGGGAGAGGGAUGCAGAAUUCCAGGUGUAGCGGUGAAAUGCGUAGAUAUCUGGAGGAAUACCGGUGGCGAAGGCGGCAUCCUGGACCGGCAUUGACGCUGAGGAGCGAAAGCUAGGGGAGCAAACGGG